RNAcentral lists this ribosomal RNA (253 nucleotides) under uncultured bacterium. RNAcentral's name for it is "partial 16S ribosomal RNA". It matches the Rfam family "Bacterial small subunit ribosomal RNA", at positions 524 to 776 of the family's 1533-position model. The record is from RNAcentral.
UACGUAGGGGGCAAGCGUUGUCCGGAAUCAUUGGGCGUAAAGAGCGCGUAGGCGGUCCGGUAAGUCCGCUGUGAAAGUCAAGGGCUCAACCCUUGAAUGCCGGUGGAUACUGUCGGGCUAGAGUCCGGAAGAGGCGAGUGGAAUUCCUGGUGUAGCGGUGAGAUGCGCAGAUAUCAGGAGGAACACCAAUGGCGAAGGCAGCUCGCUGGGACGGUACUGACGCUGAGGCGCGAAAGCGUGGGGAGCAAACAGG